RNAcentral lists this ribosomal RNA (547 nucleotides) under uncultured bacterium. RNAcentral's name for it is "bacterial SSU rRNA". It matches the Rfam family "Bacterial small subunit ribosomal RNA", at positions 98 to 641 of the family's 1533-position model. The record is from RNAcentral.
GCGGACGGGUGAGUAAUGCGUAGGAAGCUACCCGAUAGAGGGGGAUACCAGUUGGAAACGACUGUUAAUACCGCAUAAUGUCUACGGACCAAAGUGUGGGACCUUCGGGCCACAUGCUAUCGGAUGCGCCUGCGUGGGAUUAGCUAGUUGGUGGGGUAAUGGCUCACCAAGGCGACGAUCCCUAGCUGGUUUGAGAGGAUGAUCAGCCACACUGGAACUGAGACACGGUCCAGACUCCUACGGGAGGCAGCAGUGGGGAAUAUUGGACAAUGGGCGCAAGCCUGAUCCAGCCAUGCCGCGUGUGUGAAGAAGGCCUUCGGGUUGUAAAGCACUUUCAGUAGGGAGGAAGGGUGUUGUGUUAAUAGCACAGCAUUUUGACGUUACCUACAGAAGAAGCACCGGCUAACUCUGUGCCAGCAGCCGCGGUAAUACAGAGGGUGCAAGCGUUAAUCGGAAUUACUGGGCGUAAAGCGCACGUAGGCGGUUUUUUAAGUCAGAUGUGAAAGCCCCGGGCUCAACCUGGGAAUUGCAUUUGAAACUGGAAAAC